Molecule: ribosomal RNA, 439 nt
Filed under: uncultured bacterium
Lineage: Bacteria
Description: partial 16S ribosomal RNA
Rfam family: Bacterial small subunit ribosomal RNA
Source: RNAcentral
CUACGGGAGGCUCCAGUGAGGAAUAUUGCACAAUGGGGGGAACCCUGAUGCAGCAACGCCGCGUGGAGGAUGACGCAUUUCGGUGUGUAAACUCCUUUUAUAUGUCAAGAAAAUGACGGUAGCAUAUGAAUAAGCACCGGCUAACUCCGUGCCAGCAGCCGCGGUAAUACGGAGGGUGCAAGCGUUACUCGGAAUCACUGGGCGUAAAGGACGCGUAGGCGGGUUGGAAAGUCAGGUGUGAAAUCCUACAGCUUAACUGUAGAACUGCACUUGAAACUUCUAAUCUAGAGUAUGGGAGGGGGAGAUGGAAUUAGUGGUGUAGGGGUAAUAUCCGUAGAUAUCACUAGGAAUACCUAAAGCGAAGGCGAUCUCCUGGAACAUUACUGACGCUAAGGCGUGAAAGCGUGGGGAGCAAACAGGAGUAGAAACCCUUGUAGUC